UUUGUCUGACAUUAGGCGUGCAUGUCUCUAUAUAUCCGUUUAUAUUGCGAACUGCGAAUGGCUCAUUGGACAGUUAUAGUUUAUUUGAUAAUCGAUUCUUAUUCGGAUACCUGUGGUAAUUCUAGAGCUAAUGCGUGCACCCUGACCCGACUUUACGGAAGGGUUGUGUUUAUUAUAUUCCAAACCAAACCUUGGUUCCCAUGGUUUCCGAUGAAUCCUGAUAAUCUAACGAAUCGCACUCUGUGCGAUGGAUCAAUCAAGUUUCUGACCUAUCAGCUGCUGACGGUAGGGUAUUGGCCUACCGUGGCUUUGACGGGUAACGGACAAUUAGGGUUCGAUUCCGGAGAGGGAGCCUGAUAAACCGCUACCACUUCUAACGAAGGCAGCAGGCGCGCAAAUUACCCUCUCCUGACACAGGGAGGUAGUGACAACAAAUAACAAUACAGGGCAUCCAUGUCUUGGAAUUGGAAUGGAUAGUAUUUAAAUCUCUUUAUGAGUAU
This 500-nucleotide ribosomal RNA is filed under the name uncultured eukaryote. Its description in RNAcentral is "SSU rRNA". It matches the Rfam family "Eukaryotic small subunit ribosomal RNA", at positions 33 to 544 of the family's 1831-position model. The record is from RNAcentral.